GCCGUCAAAAAGGCAAUUUGGUCACUUGAAAAGAUACAGAGAAGAUUAGCAUGGCCCCUGCACUAAGGAUGACACGCUAUACAGAGAGAGUAUACCUCAAUUU
This 103-nucleotide small nuclear RNA is filed under the name Phialocephala subalpina. Lineage: Eukaryota; Fungi; Ascomycota; Leotiomycetes; Helotiales; Mollisiaceae. The record is from RNAcentral.